This 1257-nucleotide ribosomal RNA is filed under the name metagenome. Its description in RNAcentral is "bacterial SSU rRNA". It matches the Rfam family "Bacterial small subunit ribosomal RNA", at positions 8 to 1264 of the family's 1533-position model. The record is from RNAcentral.
AGGGUUUGAUCCUGGCUCAGAAUGAACGUUGGCGGCGUGGAUUAGGCAUGCAAGUCGCACGAGAAACCAGUUAGCUUGCUAAGAGGUGGACAGUGGCGAAAGGGAGAGUAACGCGUGGUUACAUGCCCUCGAGACCGGGAUAGUGUUGGGAAACUGGCAGUAAUACCGGAUAACAUCUUCGGAUCAAAUGGUGUGAUUCCGCUCGAGGAUUGGACCGCGUACUAUUAGCUUGUUGGUGAGGUAACGGCUCACCAAGGCUGCGAUGGUUACCGGGUGUGAGAGCAUGGCCCGGCUCACUGGGACUGAGACACUGCCCAGACAUCUACGGAUGGCUGCAGUCGAGAAUCUUCGGCAAUGGACGAAAGUCUGACCGAGCGACGCCGCGUGCGGGAUGAAGGCCCUCGGGUUGUAAACCGCUGUCAGUUAGGAGGAAAUCCAUAGGGGUUCUCCCUUAUGGUUGACCGAUUUUCAGAGGAAGGACGGGCUAAGUUCGUGCCAGCAGCCGCGGUAAGACGAACCGUCCAAACGUUAUUCGGUAUCACUGGGCUUAAAGCGUGCGUAGGCGGCUUGGUAGGUGAGAUGUGAAAGCCCACGGCUCAACCGUGGAAUUGCGUUUCAAACCCCCAAGCUCGAGGAAGAUAGGGGUGAUGGGAACUUAUGGUGGAGCGGUGAAAUGCGUUGAUAUCAUAGGGAACACCGGUGGCGAAAGCGCAUCACUGGAUCUUUUCUGACGCUGAGGCACGAAAGCUAGGGUAGCGAACGGGAUUAGAUACCCCGGUAGUCCUAGCCGUAAACGAUGAACACUGGGUUGAGGGGACUUCCACAUCCUCUCGGCCGUAGCGAAAGCGUUAAGUGUUCCGCCUGGGGAGUAUGGUCGCAAGGCUGAAACUCAAAGGAAUUGACGGGGGCUCACACAAGCGGUGGAGGAUGUGGCUUAAUUCGAGACUACGCGAAGAACCUUAUCCUAGACUUGACAUGUUUGAGAAUCCCUUGGAAACAUGGGAGUGCCCUUCGGGGAGCUCUUGCACAGGUGCUGCAUGGCUGUCGUCAGCUCGUGUCGUGAUAUGUUGGGUUAAGUCCCGCAACGAGCGCAACCCUCGUCCUUACUUGCUAACAGGUUAUGCUGAGAACUCUAAGGAGACUGCCUGGUUUAACCAGGAGGAAGGUGGGGAUGACGUCAAAUCCUCAUGGCCCUUACGUCUAGGGCUAGACACGUGCUACAAUGGCCGGUACAACGGGCUGCAAGUCGGUGACGAC